Molecule: ribosomal RNA, 461 nt
Filed under: uncultured bacterium
Lineage: Bacteria
Description: partial 16S ribosomal RNA
Rfam family: Bacterial small subunit ribosomal RNA
Source: RNAcentral
ACGCACGCUGGCGGCGUGCUUAACACCUGCAAGUCGAACGGAAAGGCCCUUCGGGGUCCUCGAGUGGCGAACGGGUGAGUAACACGUGGGUGAUCUGCCCUGCACUUUGGGAUAAGCCUGGGAAACUGGGUCUAAUACCGAAUAGGACCACGCGCUUCAUGGUGUGUGGUGGAAAGCUUUUGCGGUGUGGGAUGGGCCCGCGGCCUAUCAGCUUGUUGGUGGGGUAAUGGCCUACCAAGGCGACGACGGGUAGCCGGCCUGAGAGGGUGACCGGCCACACUGGGACUGAGAUACGGCCCAGACUCCUACGGGAGGCAGCAGUGGGGAAUAUUGCACAAUGGGCGCAAGCCUGAUGCAGCGACGCCGCGUGAGGGAUGACGGCCUUCGGGUUGUAAACCUCUUUCAAUAGGGACGAAGCGCAAGUGACGGUACCUAUAGAAGAAGCACCGGCCAACUACGUG